UCUGGUUGAUCCUGCCGGAGGCUACCGCUAUUGGAGUUCGAUUAAGCCAUGCGAGUCGCGAGAAAUUAGAUUCUCGGCGUACCGCUCAGUAACACGUGGGUAACCUGCCCUAUGCUGGAUAAUAACCUCGGGAAACUGAGAAUAAUGAUCCAUAGUUCACUACGCCUGGAACGGUGAGUGGAUGAAAGCUCCGGCGGCAUAGGAUGGGCCUGCGGCGUAUCAGGUUGUAGGGGGUGUAACGUACCCUCUAGCCCUCUACGCGUACGGGUGUUGGGAGACAUAGCCCGGAGAUGGAUUCUGAGACACGAAUCCAGACCCUACGGGGUGCAGCAGGCGCGAAAACUUGGCAAUGCGAGAAAUCGUGACCAGGGAACUCCAAGUGCAUCGGGUAAGACCGGUGCUUUUCUUGACUCUAAAUAGGUCUUGGAAUAAGGGGUGGGUAAGGACGGUGCCAGCCGCCGCGGUAAUACCGGCGCCUCAAGUGGUAGUCGCUUUUAUUGGGCCUAAAACGUCCGUAGCCGGUCUGAUACAUUCGUGGGUAAAUCAACCAGCUUAACUGGUUGAAUUCUGCGAGGACGGUCAGACUUGGGACCGGGAGAGGUGUGGGGUACGCUCAGGGUAGGGGUAAAAUCCUGUCAUCCUGAGCGGACCACCUGUUGCGAAGGCGCCACACUAGAACGGAUCCGACGGUCAGGGACGAAGCCUAGGGGCACAAACCGGAUUAGAUACCCGGGUAGUCCUAGGUGUAAACGCUGUGGACUUGA
This 764-nucleotide ribosomal RNA is filed under the name uncultured Candidatus Poseidoniales archaeon. RNAcentral describes it as "bacterial SSU rRNA". It matches the Rfam family "Archaeal small subunit ribosomal RNA", at positions 1 to 771 of the family's 1478-position model. The record is from RNAcentral. Lineage: Archaea; Methanobacteriati; Thermoplasmatota; Candidatus Poseidoniia; Candidatus Poseidoniales.